This 497-nucleotide ribosomal RNA is filed under the name uncultured bacterium. RNAcentral describes it as "partial 16S ribosomal RNA". It matches the Rfam family "Bacterial small subunit ribosomal RNA", at positions 28 to 507 of the family's 1533-position model. The record is from RNAcentral.
GAUGAACGCUGGCGGCGUGCCUAAUACAUGCAAGUCGAGCGAACGGACGAGAAGCUUGCUUCUCUGAUGUUAGCGGCGGACGGGUGAGUAACACGUGGAUAACCUACCUAUAAGACUGGGAUAACUUCGGGAAACCGGAGCUAAUACCGGGUAAUAUUUUGAACCGCAUGGUUCAAAAGUGAAAGACGGUCUUGCUGUCACUUAUAGAUGGAUCCGCGCUGCAUUAGCUAGUUGGUAAGGUAACGGCUUACCAAGGCAACGAUGCAUAGCCGACCUGAGAGAGUGAUAGGCGACAUGGGAAGGGGAACGGGGUCCAUGCGCCUACGAUAGGGAGCAGUAGGCAACCGGACGCAAUGGGCGAGAGCCUGACGGAGCAAGGCCACGUGAGUGAUGAAGGUGUUCGGAGCGUAAAACUCUGUUAUGAGGGAAGAACAGAUGUGGAAGUAACUGUGCACAGCGUGACGGUACCGAAUCAGAAAGCCACGGCUAACUACGUG